This 5261-nucleotide long non-coding RNA is filed under the name Podarcis lilfordi (Lilford's wall lizard). The record is from RNAcentral. Lineage: Eukaryota; Metazoa; Chordata; Lepidosauria; Squamata; Lacertidae.
ACACACACACACACACACACACACCCUUCCUGCCGCGCUAAAGAACACGCCAGCCCUGGGAAAGAGAAAUAAACAUGUGAGAGAGGGGAGGUGGGUUGAAAAACAGCAGCGCUCUGGGAGCAAAAUAGCCCCUAAGAAGUUGCAAACCUCUUUGGUGGAGGGAAGAGUCAGACCUUAGGGUGGUCCUGGUGGAGGAAGGCUAAGCCUUUAGAAUAUGGCUAACGGGGCUCCAUGAAGGAGAUCCCUGGACAGAGGUUCACAACCAGUAAGGAUUUUGAUUUCAAAGAGCCAGUGGGAAGGAAUUCCUUAGCCUGGACAGCCUCUUCCAUGCUCAUCUCCCAUCAGCAAAGCAGAACAGACGCAUCAGGCUCUGCCGGCCAGAGAGAUUUUGUGGAGUAGGAGACAUCGUGGUUCUGCUUCCAAGCGGUGGGGCUUGAACACAGGGACCUGUCUUUGCACCUUUGGGAGUAUGUCAACAUUGCUGCAAGCUGCAGAUGGGGCCACCGAUGGGAUACCACCGAGAGCUCUGGCUGGGACACCCAGCACAGAGAGUGGAGGUAAGGCAUGGAAUCAAAGAGACCUGCAUUCUUGGGGGCUCCCAAGCCAUUGGUUCGGGGAGUGGUGGUGCCUCUGAAAGUAAUCCUUUAGUUAGCACAGAUGAGCAACAUCAUAAAUUUGCAGCAGGCUGGAGGGAAGUAAAGGGAACUGAAAAAAGAAUGAGAAAGAGGUAUCCAUACUGUGCACACCUACUUAUUUCGUUCCACUGUCACUUCUGGUUGCACAACCUAUCCAGCAGGUUUCUUAUACCACCUGGAACCCUGCAAAGGCUGGGUGCCGGUGGUGAAACCUGGGUGAGUGUGUACAUGCAGAUAGCAAUGGUGAUCCCUCUUUCAGUUCUCUUGAGAAAAGUAGCAUUUCUUUCCAGCCUCAUCCAAACUCCUGCCCACAUAAUCAGAGCAGCAAAGGGAGGAAUUAGUUUCCACUUUCUCAAUGCAUGGUUAGAGUCUAGAACAGAGAUUCCUGACUGUGUUAGCAACUGCAGUUAAAGAACCAGGGAGCCAGAGCUUUUAUGGAUUAAGUAAUCUGGGAUUCAAGAAUGGGAGGCCAAGAAUAAAUCCUGAAAAUAUAUGGGAUUGUGGCAAAGAAACAGAGUUAAGUGAGGGAAGAACAGGAAAUCAGGACAAUAUUUUGAAAUGGGCAGCGGGAACACCACAGAUCCUUAAGAUCUGAUAUAUAUUUGGGCCCAGUUGCUGGUGUGACCAUCUUCCUUCAGAUCUGCAUGCUUUCUGGAGUAGUAUUAAUAGAUAAUUGUUUUUCCGUUUAUACUCUCUUGAUCUGAGAUAUUUUCUAAUCCUUCAUUUACUUCAACUUCAAGCCAUGCAAGAGUAAUUGGAAGCAGAAAGGGCAAGUAUACCCUGCAGAGAUUUGACCUAAUUCAGAGGGUUUAUACUCUUCUGUACUCCAGUACUGCAUGUGGUGGGAGGCAAAGUAAUAUUAGCAAGAAUGUCAAGCCCUUGUCUCAAAGAGCUUACAAUUUAAAUGUUGACAGCAUCCCAAGCACAGGUGCUCUUGGCUCACAGUGGCCUUGCACAUGUCACAACAUGGCACAUGUCCCCCCCUUUGUGCCAAUGGAAGAGGCUUUUAAAAAUGAUGCCUCCUGUGAAAAGGCAGAGUGGAAUUAAAUGUCUGUCCCUUUCUCCUUCCAGAGCAUGGGGUCACCCACUGAAGUUGACAGGCAGGCAACAGAUUCAGGAUAUACUUUUUCACAAGAAAGCUAUUAAAUAUGAUAGCUAAGUGGAACCUCCCUGUUCAGAAGCACUGUAUCUCUGGGUCCCAAGUGUUGAGAUAAGUAAGAGAGGAGAGGUGUUGUCUUCAUGCCCUCCUUGCAAGCUUCUCAGAAAUUACCCAGAUUGACAUACAAGAUAGGGUUUUGUUCUACUCAGUCAGAGCAGGUAUCUUAGAGAGCUGUGUUAGUCAGGGAUAUAGAAAAAGAUAUAUUGUACUUUCAAUUACAAUAAUUAUUAAGGAAUUUAUAGAGGCUGACCAAUAACAUAAUUAUUUGAGUGGCUCACAAAGAUAAAACUAUAAAUUUCAAUAUGAAUUAUAAGAACAAUUGCAGCACUUUUUUUAUAUACAAUCAGUGUGAUAGAAAUUCAGAUUUUAAAACCUCGGGAGAACAAAGAGGCCUUCAGCUGGCACGGAAGGUGCCAGGUGAGCCUCUCCACUGUACCUGGAGUGUCACUGAUGAGAAAGGCCUUCUCCCUAAUACGGAUUGGGAGCAAUUCGAUUCAGCAACUAAUUCUCACUUUCUGAAACAAUCCCUGAACUGAAACACAACCAUUCCUUUAAAAAUUCACACUUCUCUUAAUUUUGAAAUGAAAUUCUCCAGCCGAGUAAUAUGUGCACAAAUGUAUUUACUCAGGUGAACUGUGCAUAAAAAUGUAUACAUUAGUGAAAAUUAUUGAAAAGUGCAGUAUAACUGGGAAAAUUCCUUUGCAAAAAUGUGUCUACUAGGCAAGAUUGUGUGCAAAAAUCUGUGCAGUAGAAAUUCAAAAAUGCUGAUUAAUUUUCAUGAGUGUUUUGGUUUUUUAAAGACAACCCUGCAAACCAAUAUGGUAAUGUGAAGAACUCAAUUUGAGAGAAACUGUCAGAUUUGCCGAUCUCUUCUCCUGAGUAGCCACUCACCUCACAGGGGCAGGAAGUGGACAGGAGCCAUUGAAAAUCUUAGUAUGUUAGCCUGUCCUUUAGACUGAAACUGGCCAGUUAACUCUAGCUGGGAACAUCAGCGUCCCAGAGGUGAAUGACAAACAAAUUGUCUCAGGACAGCCUGUCCUGGGUUAAUUGCUCCUGCUUUGCAGUGUAACACCUGACCCUGCAAUUCAGUCUAUGCAAGCACCCAGGAUUAGCUUAGGUUAAAGGAGAAAGUUAUUAAAUUCCUGUUUAUCAUUAUUUCCUGUUAUGCUCAUAAACACUUCCAGCGUCUUGGACAGAAUAAGCAAUUGUAGGUGCUUGUCAGCCAAGCUUGACACUGCCAGGGCAGCUAGCCCACAGGGGCAGAUUUGAAAUGCCAUGAAAGGGUCGGAAAUGGUGUCAACCUUUUUUUCUUGAAGUGCAAUAAUAUUUCUACCAAUGGGCAAGGUGGUGGAGAUGAUGGGAAGGAAGACACUUGGCUUUUCUGCCUCAGGACCAACCUCCCCAGCCACACCGAAGAGAGGGAUCAAAUUCAGACUGGAGCAGUGGCAUUAGGGGAGACGAGGAUUUUAAUAGGGCUGGUCCAAUACAUUUUGCUGCCUGAGGCAGCACAGGCCUCUCCUGCUUCCAUAUAAUGAAGCUGAUCAGACUAGCAACAGCUGAACCUUGUUUUAGGAUCGUUUCCUUCACAAAACCUGAGGCCAUUUGGCAAGCUUAGGGGGCACAGGGCAGCCUGUGUGGCACACAAAAAUUCUGCCUUCAAGCACUUUGUUGCCACUCUUCCCACCCCUCACAUCCACCACAUGAAGCGGCUGCCUCACUCUGCCCAAUAUGAGGGCCAGCCCAGAAUUUUAACCAGAUCAUUUCCCCAAAUAAUUCCUUCCUAAAGCUGUUGGUAACCUGCAGCAUAUGUACAAAUGGUAAGAUACCUGUAUAAUAUCUGUAUCCUCCCCCCAUCCGCUCCGCUUUACAAGGCUGAAAGCUAUUGAGAGUGAUUAUUUUAGAUGUGGAAGAGGGACACCCUCUCUCCCCUGUGCUGCUGCUUCACUUACAGGUAUAAGAACCAAGCAGCUGUAUACAGUGCUUUAAUGUAAAAAGAAAACAUAUUUGCUACAUCUUUGGGCUGCUCCUGACAAUGUAUUUUAGAGAGAGGUAAAUAUGGGAUGUGGGUGGCGCUGUGGGUUAAACCACUGCCGCUUGGACUUACUGAUCGGAAGGUCGGCAGUUCAAAUCCCCGUGACAGGGUGAGCUCCCAUUGCUCACCUAGCAGUUGGAAAGCACGUCAAGUGCAAGUAGAUAAAUAGGUACCGCUCCGCCAGGAAGGUAAACGGCUUUUCCGUGCGCUGCUCUGGUUCGCCAGAAGCGGCUUAUUCAUGCUGGCCACAUGACCUGGAAAAACUGUCUGCGGACAAACGUCGGCUCCCUCGGUCUAUAGAGCAAGAUGAGCGCACAACCCCAGACUGGAUCUAACAGUCAGGGGUACCUUUACCUUUUAAAUAUUGUUUGAGGAGGAGCUGGUGGCUGCUGCUCCCCAUCACAGCCAGCCCCACACAAAUGUGUAAGAGCCUGUGUGAGGAGGGCACACCGAGCAGAGGCCCAGGGACAAGACCAGGGGUAGGCAACCAAAGCCCAGUGAGCUGGAUGCGGCCCAAUCGCCUUCUCAGUGUGGCCCGCAGAUGGUCUGGGAAUCAGCAUGGUUUUAGAAGAGUAGAAUGUGUCCUUUUAUUUAAAAUGCAUCUCUGGGUUAUUUGUGGGGCAUAGGAAUUCGUUCAUCCCCCCCCCCCAAAAAAUAUAGUCUGGCCCACCACAUGGUCUGAGGGACGGUGGACCAGCCCACGGCUGAAAAGGGUUGCUGACCCCUGGAUAAGACCCAUGCCUUGUACGGAAAACGUUUCAGUCUGCAGCAUUUUCUCCAAGCAGAGUCUCCUCAAAAUCCAGUCGACCUUCUUUCAGCUAUUAUAGACGAUGCUCUGCUAGAUGGACUCAGUGGUUUGCCUUUGGGUAAGGCAGCUGCCUCUGUCAUCUCUGGGAAGAGCUGAAGCUCAUAGGAAACAGAACACCAGGACCACCAAGGAGGUGCAAGAGAACCCCGGAGAGUCACUCCCAGUCCCCACAGGCCAGGUGCAGGCAGACUUCAGGCCUAUAGGAUCUCCCUUGUGUCCACCAACAGGGCCAGCUCUUCUGUUAGGUCCCUGUUAGGAUGCGGAGCAGGGCGUGGAGCGGAGCGGAGGCGUUGGGAGACAGAGCGGCAUGUGCCAGGCGGAUUGGUCUGCUGUGGUGGAAAAUGCUGUCCUGUCACCAGGGCUGAAGCAAGAUUCAGCUGCUAGUCCACUUGACUUUGAUACAUGGACUGGGAGGUUCAGGCUGACAUCUCCACUGUACACCUUUAGGCGCCAGGAGAAAACGUCCCUCUUCAACCUGGCCUUGGGCUGGGGGUUAUGGUUUGUGCAAGGGAGGGUUAUUGGUUCUGUUCUGUUCUUGCUUUUAUUAGGUAUUUUGUGUUUCUUAUCUUGUAUUUUUAUGUUGUGAACUGCUCUGAGGUCUAUGGGUGAAGGGCAGUAUACAAAUUU